Spinacia oleracea (spinach) is the source of this 1833-nucleotide long non-coding RNA. RefSeq lists it as uncharacterized. The transcript has 8 exons. NCBI's taxonomy places the organism in Eukaryota, Viridiplantae, Streptophyta, Magnoliopsida, Caryophyllales, Amaranthaceae. The record is from RefSeq and is a predicted model, not a curated record.
UUCAAAACUUUUUCGCUCAAAACUUUUCAGUUCCCUCCACUGCCUUCCAUCUUCUCAAAUUAGGGUUAAGAUCAGUCUUCUCUCAUCCUCCAUAGGUGACACCAGUUGAUACCAAAAUCUUGAACUCGAAGCGCGGGAUUCUAGGAGAGGGUGUGAAUAAUUCACGCAAACAUUGGUCGGGUUUUUCAUCCUGGAUUAUUAAACUGAUUUCACGAAACUCCAUUGCAGUUGUUUCAUCACAAGUUCAAGGUGAUUUCCCUCUUUUAUAUUCCAAUUAUUUUCGAAUUUUGGUUGUAUUUUCCUAUUUCUUUUCGAAUUUUGGUUAAAUAUCCAUAUUUUUGUUCAAAUUUUGGUUGAGAUUUCAUCCUCUGGUUCAUUUUGAAUUGCUUUUACAGUUUGGGUUCAGUACCAUGAUUUGUUGUGGUUAGUUUUGUUGUUUCCUUAACUGUUGACACCUCUCAUGAUGAUAUACCCAAUGGGAUCGGAGCAUAGGACUUAAUUCUGUUCAACGGAAUUAUCUGCGGGUUUCAAUUAGGGAUUCGAUUCUUGUCAGAAGGUUGGGUGGUUUAUCUUCUAGUUUGUGAUCUUGAAACUUUUGCUUGACUCCUUUUCAUUUUCCCUUGUUUGUAGAUUUGUACCUCCUCGAGAUUUUAUACUUGCAGUGCUUACUGUUGAAUUGGGCUAUUUAUCAAGAGCAAAAGCAAGAGAAGAACAGGUUCUGAGUACCUAGGCAAUGACUUUCUUUUCACAGUCAACUAGGUUGUUGUUGAGGGACAGGAAAAGUAAGAUAGUGAAAGGGGGAUAAUGUCAGCGGACACAUACAUUAGUUUUGAGGCAGCUGGUGGAAGUGGGAUAAAGAUCUGCUAAUAUUCUGAGAUUGUAGAAGCAUUGAUGGAGAAAUGAUUGUAUCUUAAUGUGAUUUUCAAAUAAUCAAUCAGCGUGAAUCAGCUAGCAGCAACCUAUUUAAACAAAAAGAAUUCCAUUUGAAGGAACUUGGUAUAGGUGGUCUGGGUACAUAGUUUGCAGAUAUAUUUCGAAGAGCUUUUGCCUCCAGGGUUUUCCCCUCCACAUGUUACUAGCAAAUUGGGAAUCAAACAUGUUAAAGGAAUGCUUCUUUUUGGGCCUCCUGGUACUGGCAAGACUCUGAUGGCACGUCAAAUAGGAAAGAUGUUGAAUGGAAAGGAUCCAAAGGAUCUCCCAACCAGCUUGUCCUUCUUAUUCUCGAAUGGAUCUGAAUCAGAUCAAACAUGUAGCUCGAGCUUCUGGAUCAGCCGCCAGCUAGAAGCUAGCUGUUGGAUCUUCCACAAGCUAGUUGUUGCUGCUGCUAUCAGCUAGCUAGGUGUUGCUGCUGUCAGCUAGCUACUACUGCUGCUUUCAGCUAGGUGAUGCUCUGCUGCCUGCCAGCCAGAGAUGCUCUGAAGCCUGCUGCCACUAAAGCUCCAGCCAACAUCUGCGCUGAACUGGUUAUGAGAGAAGCAGCAAGGCCUGUUGUUGUUGCUGAUAACCCCAACCUACUAAUCUCAAGAAGGUUCCUGCUGGAGUUAAUAGUAUAAACAACUACUACUGUGCUGACGGUCAUAACACUGGAAAUUUCAUCACGAUAACUCUUUAUUUGGCAACGAUGAAGUCUUACUUAUUUGGGGAAGCACAUGAAGUUAUCGACUUAUUAGUUAUUUCGUUGUUACAUUGUAGUAGUUGAUUAGUUGUUUAUCUUGCCAUUUGCAAAUUAUUAAACAACAUUUUUGUUAAGUUUUUAAGACUAUUAGACAAUUAUAUAUCACCUAUGUAAUGACUUAUGAUUUACUCUAUAUGAGUUAUUUAUUUAUGAUAUUA